Molecule: long non-coding RNA, 290 nt
Filed under: Homo sapiens (human)
Lineage: Eukaryota; Metazoa; Chordata; Mammalia; Primates; Hominidae
Description: non-protein coding lnc-SLC22A12-3:1
Source: RNAcentral
AUCCCUCGCCUUCCCCCUUGUGGCCAAUUCUGGAGAUGCAGCAGCGUAUUCCAGCCCCUCUCAGGCUCCUCCCUGCCAGUCCAUAGGACCACAGGUGCUACCCAAGACUCUGCCCCAGCCCUUGAUUUCUACCUCCUCCCCACCCUCCUGCUGACUUGGGUAAAGGGUGUCCUUGUCUCUCCCUUCCUAGACCCAGUGAACAUCCUGACUGCAGGCCCUCCCCCAGCUCUCCUUGGCUCUGCUUCAUUUGGUCCCUCCUGCCUUCCACAACCACCCAACCUCACCCUCCU